Molecule: non-coding RNA, 136 nt
Filed under: Bacteroidota bacterium
Lineage: Bacteria; Pseudomonadati; Bacteroidota
Description: Bacteroidetes bacterium SAM-I sequence
Rfam family: SAM riboswitch aptamer (S box leader)
About the family: The SAM riboswitch is found upstream of a number of genes which code for proteins involved in methionine or cysteine biosynthesis in Gram-positive bacteria.
Source: RNAcentral
GAUUUAUAAAGAAGAGGUAAGAGACAGGCUCUAUGACCCUCUGGCAACCAACUGUAAGUCCGACGAAAGUCGAGAUUGGAAAACCGGUGCCAAUUCCUGAUUUCAAUCCCAAAGUGGGUGCGAAAGAAUAUAAAUG